RNAcentral lists this long non-coding RNA (2534 nucleotides) under Piliocolobus tephrosceles (Ugandan red Colobus). Its description in RNAcentral is "lncRNA (ENSPTEG00000004882.1)". The record is from RNAcentral. Lineage: Eukaryota; Metazoa; Chordata; Mammalia; Primates; Cercopithecidae.
AAUCAUUUGGCUAAUAAUGCUAAUAGUGCUAGUGACAAAAAUAACGACUCCAAUGGAAAUAGUAAUAAAAGUUUUAGUAGUAUUGCUAUCAACCAACAACUGAUAGACACAAAUGAUGAAUUAAUAAGCUACAGUUAUAAUCAAACUAAAAAAGUUACACCUAUUAUUACUAAUGAUAAAAUGAAUAAACAAAAAGACAUUAACAUUUUUAAUACGAACUCUAAUCAUUCCCUUGGCCCCAAUAAUAAUAAUAAUAAUAAUAAUAACACCAGUGUAAAUGUCACAAGUUUUAAAAACGAUACAUGCUAUCCUGGAGGUAUGUAUAUGGAUACUUACGGAAAUAAAUUUAUGAACGAUAGUCAUGUUAAUGCAAAUGAAAAUAAGCACAUUUCAACAGUAGGUCAAACAAAUAAAAUUCUUGGUAUGGAUAUUAUUCAAAAUGAAAAUUCAGACCAAAUGACAGCGCCAAUGGAUACCCAAGUUGUUAAUGUAAUUAGACCAGAUGACACAAAUGAAAAGGUAGACACAAAUGAAAAGGAAAACACAAAUGAAGAGGCAAACACAAAUGAANNNNNNNNNNACACAAAUGAAAAGGAAAACACAAAUGAAGAGGCAAACACAAAUGAAGAGGCAAACACAAAUGAAGAGGUAGACACAACUAAUGGACCUACUGGAAAUAAUAUCUCCAAAGUAGGUAAUAUUUUUAAAAAGUGUGUUUCAAGUUAUUUUAGUAAUGUAAGCCCUUUUAAAUUUUCCAGUUUAUCUAAAAAAAUAUUAAAAAAUGAAAAUAUUACUGAACAACAUGUUAAGGAUGUAAAUACAGAUACCGAAACUCUGAAUAGUAAAACAGAUAAUAAUGAUAUGAAUAUAAACACAAGUAGCACUAAUAACAGUUGUAAUAAUAAUUAUGCCUUUAGCGUAGAACAGACAAAUAAUAUUAUAAAAAACGUUGAAAAAUUUAAAAUAAAUAAUAACAUCGAAAAGGUAGAUAACCAAGAGGUAAUAUAUACUAGCUCGGAAUUGCCGCUCAGUACAACUAGCUUUGCAACUAGCCACGUAUCUAAUAAUGUAGCUAGCCACAUGACCAACAAUGUAGCUAGCCAUAUGACCAACAAUGUAGCUAGCCACAUGACCAACAAUGUAGCUAGCCACAUGACCAACAAUGUAGCUAGCCACAUGACCAACAAUGUAGCUAGCCACAUGACCAACAAUGUAGCUAGCCACGUAUCCAACAAUCAUACGUCUGAUUCCAAUGUAGACGUAGAAAUAGUGAAUAACGUCUCAACCGGUUUUUAUGUUAAAAGUUGUACCACAACUGGUAGUAGUCAUAAUAAUAAUAAUAAUAGUAACAGUAAUAAUAGUAACAAUAAUAAUAGUAACAAUAAUAAUAGUAACAGUAAUAAUAGUAACAAUAAUAAUAGUAACAAUAACGUAAUGGAAAGUGAUUAUAAUAACAUUCAAAAAGAACAUCCUAAUACACCUUUUAUAAAUUGGAGCAACAAAAAUAAUAGAAAUCGAGAAGCACUACCAUCUUUAACAAAAUAUAAUACAUUUUCUGAAAAUGUACCAACUGAAAAUGACAAUGACAAUAACCGUACCAACAGUAGUCAAACCCAUGAUGACUUACAUGCUAGCACCUUAUUAUUGGAAAAUAAACAAAAUAACAUUAUACAACUUGAAGAGCAACAAAACACGGUAUAUAAUUUUACGCAAACGUGUAAUAGUAAUAAUAAUAAUAAUAUUAAAAAUGACACACAUGUCAGGAGUAGUAACAUAUCUGGCGAUGUAGACAUGUAUAUUAAGGUUGACACGCAGAUUGACACGCAGGUUGACACGCAGGUUGACACGCAGGUUGACACGCAGGUUGACACGCAGAUUGACACGCAGGUUGACACGCAGAUUGACACGCAGGUUGACACGCAGGUUGACACGCAAGUUGACACGCAAGUUGACACGCAAGUUGACACGCAAGUUGACACGCAGGUUGACACGCAGGUUGACACACCAGUGGAUACACCAGUGGAUACACCGGUUGACACACCGGUUGACACAUCGGUUGACACACCAGUUGACACACCAGUUGACACACCGGUUGACACACCAGUGGACACACUAGUUGAAAACAAUUUUUUAUUACAAAACAAUAAAGACGAUAUGAAUACGAACAAUUUUAAUUAUAUAUCUAAUGCCUUUAUAAAUAAUGAAUUGUGCGAAAAUAAAAAUGAAAAUAUUAAUAAUAUUGUAAUCUCAAAUCAUUGUAAAGGUGUUAAUGAAAGCGCUAAUGUAAUGAUCGGUGUUUGUAAUAGUAGUGCCGUAGUUAAUAACAGUAACAAUUUCAAACCAAAUGAUAGCAAUUAUUUUUCAGGGAUAUUUCAAAUAACUGCUAAUAAUAACCCAUUAGAUAUAAAUGCAGAGAGUUUUGAUAAUAAAGAAGACUUUGAAAAAGUUAAUCAGAUUUUUAAAAAUAUUAAUUGUAUAAAUAAGAAUAUAAGUUACAUAAAUAAAUAUGUUCCAUCUAAUAUUGAAGAAGUAAA